UACGUAGGGGGCAAGCGUUGUCCGGAUUUAUUGGGCGUAAAGAGCGCGCAGGCGGUCGUUCAAGUCGCGUGUGAAAGCCCCCGGCUCAACUGGGGAGGGUCACGCGAUACUGAUCGACUCGAAGGCAGGAGAGGGUAGUGGAAUUCCCGGUGUAGUGGUGAAAUUCGUAGAUAUCGGGAGGAACACCAGUGGCGAAGGCGGCGAUCUGGGAGGAUACUGACGCUGAGGUGCGAAAGCGUGGGGAGCAAACAGG
This 253-nucleotide ribosomal RNA is filed under the name uncultured bacterium. Its description in RNAcentral is "partial 16S ribosomal RNA". It matches the Rfam family "Bacterial small subunit ribosomal RNA", at positions 524 to 776 of the family's 1533-position model. The record is from RNAcentral.